Molecule: non-coding RNA, 92 nt
Organism: Mycena olivaceomarginata
Lineage: Eukaryota; Fungi; Basidiomycota; Agaricomycetes; Agaricales; Mycenaceae
Source: the annotation of a GenBank genome assembly
GACCCAGUGGCGGAUGGUCCGUGCCUGUUCACCAUGCGUCGCGGAACAUCAGCAUUAUGCAGGCGUCGCUCGUUCGAAUCGAGCCUGGGUCA